AGCAACCUUCUCCAAUAGCAAAGAAACAAACAAAAAUCUCUGGUUUCAUUCGCCUUCCAUCCUGAGGCUUGGUUGAGGCAGAACAGUGUUGUAAUCCAGAAGAUUAUCACAGUGUAAAAUGAUAAGCAGGAUGUAAAGGAUGGUUGACCCCAUUACUUCAGCCAUGUGAUUCUAAUCAUCUCCUAACCCAGAGUCUUGGCUGUUCUGGAAUUGACUCUAUAGACCAAGCUGGCCGGUAGCUUACAGAGAUCUACAUGUCUCUGCCUCCAGAGUGCUGGGAUUAAAGAGGAGCAGUACCAGAAUAUUGAAACACCUUGCCCAAUAUUACACAGCCAAGAAGGCCAGUCUUGGAUUCUGAGCCCUGUUUGACUUCCUAUUCGGUACUCAAGCACUCUGCAUCCACUGUGUAGCCCAGGUACAAUGACUGCAUUCUACCUUUGUCUGCAGAUGAAGAAAAAUGCAGACAGGUUAAAUCCUUUGUUCAGGACAAUACAACAUGUACCAGAUGUGUCCCCACUCUUUCAAACAUGGGAGAUUUUGCUGGACUACAGAAGAAAAAUCCCAGGACUUACUGUGGUCAGGGGAAAGUCUUCUCAUCUCUUCGCAAGUGAGGCUUGACCAUGAUUAGGAGCUUCUGGCCUGAAUGGAGCCUCCAAUUGAUCUUCACACCAUGAAAAGUGAGAGCAAAUGAUGGCUUGUGCCCCCUUGACAGCACUGGUGUUAGGGCUCAGCGGACUGUGGAUGGGAAUGCCAUCCUGAAUUUCCCAAUGCCCUCUGCAUCAGUGGCAUUAUCUGGAUAUGACUACUGCAUGUUCUCUUUGAUUUCAGAUGAAGAAACACACACAUUCAGAAAAAAGAAUUCUUCAGGAAAAUGCAAUAAUGCUCAACCUUGAACCAAAAGAGACUGUUCCCAGCAUCUGCCACUUAUCACAUCUUACCACCAUUAUUCUGCCAAAGUCAGGAAGGUAUCUUCCCUUUCUUUGGUACUUAAGAUAGAAAGAAGGGAUCCCUGGACUCUUAUCCCAUAGGGACAUGUUUGUUAGUUCUCCUAGGACUCUGGUGCCUCUGCCCACUAAUGGUUAAUUAGCCACUGUUGAUAAUGAUGGUUAAGAUCAAAUCGACAACAACAUUCCAUUAGAAAUUUCCAUAGUGAUAAGGUCACCUCUGCUCCUUAGUGUCACUAGAGACAACCUUGACAUUAUCUUGUCUAUGGUGUCCUCUGAUUUCUCUUAAGCCACACUUCAACCCUCCUAAUACAUAAGUACUGUAUUUAAUGUCUUAUCUCUUUAAAUUGAGGAGCAGUUUACAUAAAUCAAGUACCUAGGUGUUGAAAAUGUUUUUAUUGUCAUGCAUUAGUACAUUGAGUUCCAUUAUCACAUGUUCAGACACACACACACACACAAAAUGGAUUUUGAUUAUAUUUAUUCUCUAUUAUCUUCUCUUGUUCCCCUUAUGCCCCUCUGUCAAGCCCUUAUGUUCCUUAAAACUUAGAACCAUUCUAGCAAAACAAUAUUUUAUUUAUUUUCUUCUUCUACUUCUUUUCACUCUGUAGACCAUGAUGGCCUCAAACCUGGAAAUCUGAGUGCUGGGAUUAAAGGCUUGAGUCACCAUAACUGGCUCUAUUAUCUGGAACAAAGGAAGGUGCUAGAGGCUGUGGCCCAGCGAUGUGAACGCUGGGGGCUGAGUAGGUGUGGACUCUGAAUGACCAAUUGUGCAUGUAUGCUACACUCAGUUCUCUCCAUGAAGCCAGGGAUGAGUCUCAGGCUAAUAGCCUUUAUGGAAGUGAGCUUGCUUUGCUUUGUUGGGCCCAAUUUAACAGACAUUUAGUUUUGUUUUAGAUUUUUCCUGCUUGCUUGCUAGCUUGUUUGAUGUGGUUUCACUUUCUAUCCAUGCAGGGUUCCUAGAUUGCCCUGCUGGAACUAGAAGGGAGGCCAAAAUCAAAGUCUUUUUGAUAAAGCACUGGAACUAUAUACCAGCCCAUCUGAACUGUCCUUCCCAAGGUAUGGAUCAUCCCAGCAUAGGAACACUGCCCUUCUUCCUCUUGACCCACAGGUAGUAUCCUAAGUACAGCCCAGCUCAUCUUCUCUCUUCUGCCAUACACUCAAUAAAAUAAAGUAAAUG
Long non-coding RNA from Mus musculus (house mouse), 2121 nucleotides. RefSeq annotates it as predicted gene, 41579. The transcript is spliced from 4 exons. NCBI's taxonomy places the organism in Eukaryota, Metazoa, Chordata, Mammalia, Rodentia, Muridae. The record is from RefSeq and is a predicted model, not a curated record.